GAUGAAGAACGCAGCAAAAUGCGAUAAGUAAUGUGAAUUGCAGAAUUCAGUGAAUCAUCGAAUCUUUGAACGCACAUUGCGCCCGCUGGUAUUCCGGCGGGCAUGCCUGUUCGAGCGUCAUUUCAACCCUCAAGCCCCCGGGUUUGGUGUUGGGGAUCGGCUCUGCCCUUCUGGGCGGUGCCGCCCCCGAAAUACAUUGGCGGUCUCGCUGCAGCCUCCAUUGCGUAGUAGCUAACACCUCGCAACUGGAACGCGGCGCGGCCAUGCCGUAAAACCCCAACUUCUGAAUGUUGACCUCGGAUCAGGUAGGAAUACCCGCUGAACUUAAGCAUAUCAUAACGGAGGA
RNAcentral lists this unclassified non-coding RNA (346 nucleotides) under soil metagenome. Its description in RNAcentral is "partial contains 5.8S ribosomal RNA, internal transcribed spacer 2, and large subunit ribosomal RNA". The stretch from base 1 to 120 matches the Rfam family "5.8S ribosomal RNA", at positions 35 to 154 of the family's 154-position model. The record is from RNAcentral.